UACAGAGGUGGCAAGCGUUGUUCGGAAUUACUGGGCGUAAAGGGCGCGUGAGGCGGCCUUCUAAGUCAGACGUGAAAUCCCCCGGCUUAACCUGGGAACUGCGUCUGAUACUGGGAGGCUUGAGUAUGGGAGAGGGAUGUAGAAUUCCAGGUGUAGCGGUGAAAUGCGUAGAUAUCUGGAGGAAUACCGGUGGCGAAGGCGGCAUCCUCGGACCAUAACGUGACGCUGAGGCGCGAAAGCUAGGGGAGCAACGGG
This 255-nucleotide ribosomal RNA is filed under the name uncultured bacterium. Its description in RNAcentral is "partial 16S ribosomal RNA". It matches the Rfam family "Bacterial small subunit ribosomal RNA", at positions 524 to 775 of the family's 1533-position model. The record is from RNAcentral.